UCAAGCUAAGAAGAGCGCAGGGCGAAUGCCUUGGCACUGGGAGCCGACGAAGGACGUGAUAAGCUGCGAUAAGCUGCGGGGAGGAGCAAAUAUCCAUUGAUCCGCAGAUUUCCGAAUGGAGAAAUCCGUAUGGAGAAGUCCAUACAUCAUAUACUGAAUUCAUAGGUAUAUGAGGGAAACCGCCUGAACUGAAACAUCUAAGUAGGGCGAGGAAAAGAAAUCAACCGAGAUACCGCAAGUAGUGGCGAGCGAACGCGGCAGAGGCCAAACCGGGAGUAGAAAUACUCCCGGGGUUGCGGACUGCAUUUAGCAUUGUUGAUCUUUAACCGAAGGGCAUGGGAAGGCCCACCGAAGAACGUGAGAGUCGUGUAGGUGAAAAGGAGAGACAGCGAGCAGGAUCCAGAGUACCGCGGGACACGAGGAAUCCCGUGGGAAGCCGGGGGGACCACCCUCCAAGCCUAAAUACUACCCAGUGACCGAUAGCGUAUAGUACUGUGAAGGAAAGGUGAAAAGGACCCCGGGAGGGGAGUGAAAUAGAACCUGAAACCCUGUGCUUACAAGCACCGAGAGCCCGUCAAUGGGUGAUCGGGUACUUUUUGUAGAACGGUCCGGCGAGUAUAUGGAACAAGCAAGGUUAAGGUCUUCAGGACCGAAGCCGAAGGGAAACCAAGUCUUAAUAGGGCGCACAGUUUGUUUCAUAUGACCCGAAACCGGGUGACCUAUCCAUGUCCAGGUUGAAGUGGCGGUAAAACGCCAUGGAGGACCGAACCAACCCCCGUUGAAAAGGUGGUGGAUGAGGUGUGGAUAGCGGAGAAAUUCCAAUCGAACUCGGAUAUAGCUGGUUCUCCCCGAAAUAGCUUUAGGGCUAGCGUUGUGUUAGAUUACCGGAGGUAAAGCACUGAAUAGGCUAGGGGGCGAGAGUCUACCGACCCUUAUCAAACUCUGAAUGCCGGAUAAUUGAUGCACAGCAGUCAGACAGUGUGAGAUAAGUUUCAUUGUCAAAAGGGAAACAGCCCAGACCCACAGCUAAGGUCCCAAAUGUAUGUUAAGUGGAAAAGGAUGUCCAGUUGCACAAACAACCAGGAUGUUGGCUUAGAAGCAGCCACACAUUCAAAGAGUGCGUAACAGCUCACUGGUCGAGUGACCGGGCGCCGAAAAUGUAACGGGGCUAAACAUACAACCGAAGCUUGGGCUGCACAGCAAUGUGCGGGGUAGGGGAGCGUUGUGUGCGGGGAGAAGCACGAGCGGAAGCGCGUGUGGACUGCACAGAAGUGAGAAUGCCGGAAUGAGUAGCGCGAAUUAUGUGAGAAUCAUAAUGGCCGAAAGCCUAAGGUUUCUGGAGGAAGGUUCGUCCGCUCCAGGUUAGCCGGGAGCUAAGGUGAGGCCGAAAGGCGUAGCCGAUGCACAUACGGUGGAGAUUCCGUAGCCAUCAAAAGAUUUAAGCAGAGGGACACAGUAGAAGGGUACAUGCCGGGCGUUGGUAGCCCCGGUUGCAAGGGACCGAAAUUAGAGUAGGGAAGAUGAACUUGGAUACUGGCGAGAAAAGCUCUGUGGAUAUCUGCGAUGCCCGUACCGCAAACCGACACAGGUAGGUAGGAAGAGGAUUCUAAGGCCAACGGGAGAAGGGUUGUUAAGGAACUCGGCAAGUUGACCCCGUAACUUCGGGAGAAGGGGUGCUCUGGAAACAGAGCCGCAGAGAAUAGGUCCAGGCAACUGUUUAGCAAAAACACAGCUCUCUGCUAAAUCGAAAGAUGAUGUAUAGGGGGUGACGCCUGCCCGGUGCUGGAAGGUUAAGAGGAGGAGUGAGAGCCCCGAAUCGAAGCCCCAGUAAACGGCGGCCGUAACUAUAACGGUCCUAAGGUAGCGAAAUUCCUUGUCAGGUAAGUUCUGACCCGCACGAA
This 1901-nucleotide ribosomal RNA is filed under the name human gut metagenome. Its description in RNAcentral is "bacterial LSU rRNA". It matches the Rfam family "Bacterial large subunit ribosomal RNA", at positions 3 to 1996 of the family's 2925-position model. The record is from RNAcentral.